AGUUUGAUUCAUGGCUCAGGAUGAACGCUGGCGGCGUGCCUAAUACAUGCAAGUCGAGCGAAUGGAUUAAGAGCUUGCUCUUAUGAAGUUAGCGGCGGACGGGUGAGUAACACGUGGGUAACCUGCCCAUAAGACUGGGAUAACUCCGGGAAACCGGGGCUAAUACCGGAUAACAUUUUGAACCGCAUGGUUCGAAAUUGAAAGGCGGCUUCGGCUGUCACUUAUGGAUGGACCCGCGUCGCAUUAGCUAGUUGGUGAGGUAACGGCUCACCAAGGCAACGAUGCGUAGCCGACCUGAGAGGGUGAUCGGCCACACUGGGACUGAGACACGGCCCAGACUCCUACGGGAGGCAGCAGUAGGGAAUCUUCCGCAAUGGACGAAAGUCUGACGGAGCAACGCCGCGUGAGUGAUGAAGGCUUUCGGGUCGUAAAACUCUGUUGUUAGGGAAGAACAAGUGCUAGUUGAAUAAGCUGGCACCUUGACGGUACCUAACCAGAAAGCCACGGCUAACUACGUGCCAGCAGCCGCGGUAAUACGUAGGUGGCAAGCGUUAUCCGGAAUUAUUGGGCGUAAAGCGCGCGCAGGUGGUUUCUUAAGUCUGAUGUGAAAGCCCACGGCUCAACCGUGGAGGGUCAUUGGAAACUGGGAGACUUGAGUGCAGAAGAGGAAAGUGGAAUUCCAUGUGUAGCGGUGAAAUGCGUAGAGAUAUGGAGGAACACCAGUGGCGAAGGCGACUUUCUGGUCUGUAACUGACACUGAGCGCGAAAGCGUGGGGAGCAAACAGGAUUAGAUACCCUUGGUAGUCCA
RNAcentral lists this ribosomal RNA (808 nucleotides) under Bacillus cereus. RNAcentral's name for it is "bacterial SSU rRNA". It matches the Rfam family "Bacterial small subunit ribosomal RNA", at positions 10 to 797 of the family's 1533-position model. Lineage: Bacteria; Bacillati; Bacillota; Bacilli; Caryophanales; Bacillaceae. The record is from RNAcentral.